This 253-nucleotide ribosomal RNA is filed under the name uncultured bacterium. RNAcentral's name for it is "partial 16S ribosomal RNA". It matches the Rfam family "Bacterial small subunit ribosomal RNA", at positions 524 to 776 of the family's 1533-position model. The record is from RNAcentral.
UACGUAGGGUGCGAGCGUUAAUCGGAAUUACUGGGCGUAAAGCGUGCGCAGGCGGUUUUGCAAGCCGGAUGUGAAAUCCCCGGGCUUAACCUGGGAAUGGCAUUUGGGACUGCAAGGCUGGAGUGCGGCAGAGGAGACUGGAAUUCCUGGUGUAGCAGUGAAAUGCGUAGAUAUCAGGAGGAACACCGGUGGCGAAGGCGGGUCUCUGGGCCGAUACUGACGCUGAGGAGCGAAAGCGUGGGGAGCGAACAGG